Long non-coding RNA from Mesoplodon densirostris (Blainville's beaked whale), 390 nucleotides. RefSeq lists it as uncharacterized. The transcript is spliced from 3 exons. NCBI's taxonomy places the organism in Eukaryota, Metazoa, Chordata, Mammalia, Artiodactyla, Ziphiidae. The record is from RefSeq and is a predicted model, not a curated record.
CUUGGCCACUGUGAAAAUUCCUGCAGUGCAGCUGUUGAAGCCUGUGCCUUCUCGACUCUGGACUUCUCAGGCUCAUCUAUGGUGCCUCAAAGAGCAGUGUUUCAUUGUUUUCCAUGGCUAAUAUUCCAUUGUGUACAUGGACCACUUCUUCUUUUUCCACUCAUCUGGUGAUGGACCUUUUGGUUGCUUCCGUGUCUUGGCCACUGUGAAAAUUCCUGCAGUGCAGCUGUUGAAGCCUGUGCCUUCUCGACUCUGGACUUCUCAGGCUCAUCUAUGGUGCCUCAAAGAGCAGUGUUUCAUUGUUUUCCAUGGCUAAUAUUCCAUUGUGUACAUGGACCACUUCUUCUUUUUCCACUCAUCUGGUGAUGGACCUUUGGGUUGCUUCCGUGU